GGGGGGACACCUAUGGGGCGGGGGGGGGGCAGCUGGGGCCGUCGCUCAGAGCCGCCGGCGCCGCCAUGGCCCGAUCCUGGCUCCUGGGGCUGGUCCUGGGGCUCCUGCUGGUCCUGGCCCCCCCCGGGGGGCGAGGGGGGGACCCCGGGGGUCGCCAUGGCGACGGGGAGCAUCCCCAUCCCCAUAGCGACCGGGGGGACCCCCGUCUCCACGGCAACCGGGGGGCUCCCCGUCUCCACGGCGACCAGGGGGCUCCCCUUCCCCUUGGCGACGGGGGAGGGGAGGGGGGGGACCCCCCCGGGGGUCGCCAUGGAGACGGGGAACCCCCCCAUCAUCAUCAUCAUCAUCCUCCUCCUCCCCAUCACCAUGGCGCCGAGGAAGGCCCUCCCCAUGAGGCCGGGGAUCCCCGUCGCUAUGGCGACGAGGGGGGGGACCCCCCCGGGGGUCACCGUGGCGACGGGGAACCCCCCCAUCAUCCUCAUCAUCCUCAUCCUCAUCUUCAUCCAUCCGAGGGUCACCGUGGCGAAGAGGAAGGCUCCCCCCGCCAUCAUCAUCAUCACCAUGGCGAUGAGGAAGACCCCCCCAACCAUCAUCAUCAUCACCAUCAUCACCAUGGAGAUGAGGAAGACCCCAGCCCCCCCGGUCGCCAUGGCGAUGAUGAAGGCCACUAUGGCCAUGAGGAUGAGGAUGGGGAUGAUGAGGAGGAGGAGGAGGAUGAAGGCCACCCCCUCCAGCCCCAUCGCCACGGCGACGAAGGCCGUUACCAUGGCGACCGGCCCCACGGCCACCGCGACCCCCCCAGCUCCGAGGAGGAGGAGGAGGAGGAAGAUGAGGAAGAGGAGGAGGAGGAAGAUGAUGGUGAAGGGGACACCUCCGAGGAGGAGGAAGGGAGUGAGGAGGAGGAGGAGGAUGAGGCCGAAGGGCGAUACCAGCCCGGCUCCAUCUGCCGCUACUGCACCUUCUGCAAGGUACAGCGGGGGGGGACACAAAAUAAGGGGACCCCCCUCCCCUUUGGGGACAGGGGGACCCCCCCCUUGGGGACCCCCCCCCCCUUGGGGACACAUCCCCACCCCCUUU
Molecule: long non-coding RNA, 1077 nt
Filed under: Calidris pygmaea (Spoon-billed sandpiper)
Lineage: Eukaryota; Metazoa; Chordata; Aves; Charadriiformes; Scolopacidae
Description: lncRNA (ENSCPGG00000005989.1)
Source: RNAcentral